GAUGAAGAACGCAGCAAAAUGCGAUAAGUAAUGUGAAUUGCAGAAUUCAGUGAAUCAUCGAAUCUUUGAACGCACAUUGCGCCCGCCAGUAUUCUGGCGGGCAUGCCUGUUCGAGCGUCAUUUCAACCCUCAAGCACAGCUUGGUGUUGGGACUCGCGUUAAUUCGCGUUCCCCAAAUUGAUUGGCGGUCACGUCGAGCUUCCAUAGCGUAGUAGUAAAACCCUCGUUACUGGUAAUCGUCGCGGCCACGCCGUUAAACCCCAACUUCUGAAUGUUGACCUCGGAUCAGGUAGGAAUACCCGCUGAACUUAAGCAUAUCAAUAAGCGGAGGGA
RNAcentral lists this unclassified non-coding RNA (333 nucleotides) under soil metagenome. RNAcentral's name for it is "partial contains 5.8S ribosomal RNA, internal transcribed spacer 2, and large subunit ribosomal RNA". The stretch from base 1 to 120 matches the Rfam family "5.8S ribosomal RNA", at positions 35 to 154 of the family's 154-position model. The record is from RNAcentral.